RNAcentral lists this ribosomal RNA (564 nucleotides) under Candida albicans. RNAcentral describes it as "eukaryotic LSU rRNA". It matches the Rfam family "Eukaryotic large subunit ribosomal RNA", at positions 67 to 648 of the family's 3401-position model. The record is from RNAcentral. Lineage: Eukaryota; Fungi; Ascomycota; Pichiomycetes; Serinales; Debaryomycetaceae.
AACAGGGAUUGCCUCAGUAGCGGCGAGUGAAGCGGCAAAAGCUCAAAUUUGAAAUCUGGCGUCUUUGGCGUCCGAGUUGUAAUUUGAAGAAGGUAUCUUUGGGCCCGGCUCUUGUCUAUGUUCCUUGGAACAGGACGUCACAGAGGGUGAGAAUCCCGUGCGAUGAGAUGACCCGGGUCUGUGUAAAGUUCCUUCGACGAGUCGAGUUGUUUGGGAAUGCAGCUCUAAGUGGGUGGUAAAUUCCAUCUAAAGCUAAAUAUUGGCGAGAGACCGAUAGCGAACAAGUACAGUGAUGGAAAGAUGAAAAGAACUUUGAAAAGAGAGUGAAAAAGUACGUGAAAUUGUUGAAAGGGAAGGGCUUGAGAUCAGACUUGGUAUUUUGCAUGCUGCUCUCUCGGGGGCGGCCGCUGCGGUUUACCGGGCCAGCAUCGGUUUGGAGCGGCAGGAUAAUGGCGGAGGAAUGUGGCACGGCUUCUGCUGUGGUAUAGCCUCUGACGAUACUGCCAGCCUAGACCGAGGACUGCGGUUUUUACCUAGGAUGUUGGCAUAAUGAUCUUAAGUCGC